UACGGAGGAUCCGAGCGUUAUCCGGAUUUAUUGGGUUUAAAGGGAGCGUAGGUGGAUUGUUAAGUCAGUUGUGAAAGUUUGCGGCUCAACCGUAAAAUUGCAGUUGAAACUGGCAGUCUUGAGCACAGUAGAGGUGGGCGGAAUUCGUGGUGUAGCGGUGAAAUGCUUAGAUAUCACGAAGAACUCCGAUUGCGAAGGCAGCUCACUAGACUGCAACUGACACUGAUGCUCGAAAGUGUGGGUAUCAAACAGG
RNAcentral lists this ribosomal RNA (253 nucleotides) under uncultured bacterium. Its description in RNAcentral is "partial 16S ribosomal RNA". It matches the Rfam family "Bacterial small subunit ribosomal RNA", at positions 524 to 776 of the family's 1533-position model. The record is from RNAcentral.